GGGAAGGUGGCUCAGUGGUAGAGUGCUUGCCUUGCAUGCAUGAGGACCCGGGUUCCAUUCCU
This 62-nucleotide transfer RNA is filed under the name Dipodomys ordii (Ord's kangaroo rat). It matches the Rfam family "tRNA", at positions 1 to 61 of the family's 71-position model. From Rfam's summary of the family: Transfer RNA (tRNA) molecules are approximately 80 nucleotides in length. Their secondary structure includes four short double-helical elements and three loops (D, anti-codon, and T loops). The record is from Rfam by way of RNAcentral. Lineage: Eukaryota; Metazoa; Chordata; Mammalia; Rodentia; Heteromyidae.